RNAcentral lists this ribosomal RNA (395 nucleotides) under Stramenopiles sp. MAST-6. Its description in RNAcentral is "partial small subunit ribosomal RNA". It matches the Rfam family "Eukaryotic small subunit ribosomal RNA", at positions 582 to 975 of the family's 1831-position model. The record is from RNAcentral.
AUUCCAGCUCCAAUAGCGUAUAUUAAAGUUGUUGCAGUUAAAAAGCUCGUAGUUGGAUUUCUGGCGGGAGCGGCCUGUCCUGCCCUUUGCGGGGUUGAGCACAAGCGCUGCAUCCGGCCAUCCUUGUGGAGAGCGUUUCUGGCAUUCAGUUGUCGGACUCGGGGUCCGCAUCGUUUACUGUGAAAAAAUUAGAGUGUUUAAAGCAGGCAUUUGCUUGAAUACAUUAGCAUGGAAUAAUAAGAUAGGACUUAGUCGUUAUUUUGUUGGUCUUGCACGUCUAGGUAAUGAUUAAUAGGGAUAGUUGGGGGUAUUCAUAUUUAAUUGUCAGAGGUGAAAUUCUUGGAUUUAUGAAAGAUGAACUUAUGCGAAAGCAUUUACCAUGGAUGUUUUCAUUA